AACGACUCUCGGCAACGGAUAUCUCGGCUCACGCAUCGAUGAAGAACGUAGCAAAAUGCGAUACUUGGUGUGAAUUGCAGAAUCCCGUGAACCAUCGAGUUUUUGAACGCAAGUUGCGCCCGAAGCCAUCCGGUUGAGGGCACGCCUGCCUGGGCGUCACGCA
Molecule: ribosomal RNA, 163 nt
Filed under: Cicerbita muralis
Lineage: Eukaryota; Viridiplantae; Streptophyta; Magnoliopsida; Asterales; Asteraceae
Also listed under: 3 other names
Description: 5.8S ribosomal RNA
Rfam family: 5.8S ribosomal RNA
About the family: 5.8S ribosomal RNA (5.8S rRNA) is a component of the large subunit of the eukaryotic ribosome. It is transcribed by RNA polymerase I as part of the 45S precursor that also contains 18S and 28S rRNA.
Source: RNAcentral